GAUGAACGCUGGCGGCGUGCCUAAUACAUGCCAGUCGAGCGAACAGACGAGGAGCUUGCUCCUCUGACGUUAGCGGCGGACGGGUGAGUAACACGUGGAUAACCUACCUAUAAGACUGGGAUAACUUCGGGAAACCGGAGCUAAUACCGGAUAAUAUAUUGAACCGCAUGGUUCAAUAGUGAAAGACGGUUUUGCUGUCACUUAUAGAUGGAUCCGCGCCGCAUUAGCUAGUUGGUAAGGUAACGGCUUACCAAGGCAACGAUGCGUGGCCGACCUGAGAGGGUGAUCGGCCACACUGGAACUGAGACACGGUCCAGACUCCUACGGGAGGCAGCAGUAGGGAAUCUUCCGCAAUGGGCGAAAGCCUGACGGAGCAACGCCGCGUGAGUGAUGAAGGUCUUCGGAUCGUAAAACUCUGUUAUUAGGGAAGAACAAAUGUGUAAGUAACUAUGCACGUCUUGACGGUACCUAAUCAGAAAGCCACGGCUAACUACGUG
This 497-nucleotide ribosomal RNA is filed under the name uncultured bacterium. RNAcentral's name for it is "partial 16S ribosomal RNA". It matches the Rfam family "Bacterial small subunit ribosomal RNA", at positions 28 to 507 of the family's 1533-position model. The record is from RNAcentral.